UGAGGAAUAUUGGUCAAUGGGCGGAAGCCUGAACCAGCCAAGUAGCGUGCAGGAUGACGGCCCUAUGGGUUGUAAACUGCUUUUAGGCGGGGGUAAAGUGGCGGACGUGUUCCGCCUUUGCAGGUACCCUGCGAAUAAGGACCGGCUAAUUCCGUGCCAGCAGCCGCGGUAAUACGGAAGGUCCGGGCGUUAUCCGGAUUUAUUGGGUUUAAAGGGAGCACAGGCCGGCUGUCAAGCGUGUUGUGAAAUGUAGGGGCUCAACCUCUGAACUGCAGCGCGAACUGACGGUCUUGAGUGCGCACAACGUUGGCGGAAUUCGUCGUGUAGCGGUGAAAUGCUUAGAUAUGACGAAGAACUCCGAUUGCGAAGGCAGCUGACGGGAGCGUUACUGACGCUUAAGCUCGAAAGUGCGGGUAUCGAACAGGAUUAGAUACCCUGGUAGU
Molecule: ribosomal RNA, 443 nt
Filed under: uncultured Prevotella sp.
Lineage: Bacteria; Pseudomonadati; Bacteroidota; Bacteroidia; Bacteroidales; Prevotellaceae
Description: bacterial SSU rRNA
Rfam family: Bacterial small subunit ribosomal RNA
Source: RNAcentral